This 349-nucleotide ribosomal RNA is filed under the name uncultured bacterium. RNAcentral describes it as "bacterial SSU rRNA". It matches the Rfam family "Bacterial small subunit ribosomal RNA", at positions 32 to 378 of the family's 1533-position model. The record is from RNAcentral.
AAUCAACGCUGGCGGCAUGCCUAACACAUGCAAGUCGAGCGAGAAAGGGUAGCAAUACCUGAGUAAAGCGGCGCACGGGUGAGUAACACGUGGAUAACCUGCCUCAAAGUGGGGAAUAACACCGGGAAACCGGUGCUAAUACCGCAUAUUCUGACGAGAUCUGUGGAUUUUGCCAGGAAGGAGCAAUUCGCUAUGAGAGGGGUCCGCGGCUGAUUAGCUAGUUGGGAGGUAACGGCUCACCAAGGCCACGAUCAGUAGCCGGUCUGAGAGGACGGUCGGCCACACUGGAACUGAGACACGGUCCAGACUCCUACGGGAGGCAGCAGUGGGGAAUUUUCGCAAUGGGGGC